RNAcentral lists this unclassified non-coding RNA (327 nucleotides) under soil metagenome. RNAcentral's name for it is "partial contains 5.8S ribosomal RNA, internal transcribed spacer 2, and large subunit ribosomal RNA". The stretch from base 1 to 120 matches the Rfam family "5.8S ribosomal RNA", at positions 35 to 154 of the family's 154-position model. The record is from RNAcentral.
GAUGAAGAACGCAGUGAAAUGCGAUAAGUAAUGUGAAUUGCAGAACUCAGUGAAUCAUCGAAUCUUUGAACGCACAUUGCGCCCCUUGGUAUUCCGAGGGGCAUGCCUGUUCGAGCGUCAUUUUGACCACUCCCGCUUGCGGGGUCUUGGGCCUUCGCCUCUGGGCGGGCCUUAAAAUCAGUGGCGGUGCCGUCCGGCUCUAAGCGUAGUAAAUCUCCUCGCUAUAGGGUUCCGGAGGGAUGCUGGCCAACAACCCCCAACUUUUAAGGUUGACCUCGGAUCAGGUAGGGAUACCCGCUGAACUUAAGCAUAUCAAUAAGCGGAGGA